UACGGGGGGGGCAAGCGUUGUUCGGAAUUACUGGGCGUAAAGGGCUCGUAGGCGGCCAACUAAGUCAGACGUGAAAUCCCUCGGCUUAACCGGGGAACUGCGUCUGAUACUGGAUGGCUUGAGUUUGGGAGAGGGAUGCGGAAUUCCAGGUGUAGCGGUGAAAUGCGUAGAUAUCUGGAGGAACACCGGUGGCGAAGGCGGCUAUCUGGACGACAACUGACGCUGAGGCGCGAAAGCGUGGGGAUCAAACAGG
This 253-nucleotide ribosomal RNA is filed under the name uncultured bacterium. RNAcentral's name for it is "partial 16S ribosomal RNA". It matches the Rfam family "Bacterial small subunit ribosomal RNA", at positions 524 to 776 of the family's 1533-position model. The record is from RNAcentral.